GCACAGAGAAGCUUGCUUCUUGGGUGGCGAGUGGCGAACGGGUGAGUAAUAUAUCGGAACGUACCGAGCAGUGGGGGAUAACUAAUCGAAAGAUUAGCUAAUACCGCAUAUUUUCUGAGGAAGAAAGCAGGGGACCAUUUGGCCUUGCGCUGUUUGAGCGGCCGAUAUCUGAUUAGCUAGUUGGUGGGGUAAAGGCCUACCAAGGCGACGAUCAGUAGCGGGUCUGAGAGGAUGAUCCGCCACACUGGGACUGAGACACGGCCCAGACUCCUACGGGAGGCAGCAGUGGGGAAUUUUGGACAAUGGGCGCAAGCCUGAUCCAGCCAUGCCGCGUGUCUGAAGAAGGCCUUCGGGUUGUAAAGGACUUUUGUCAGGGAAGAAAAGAGCGGGGUUAAUACCCCUGUCUGAUGACGGUACCUGAAGAAUAAGCACCGGCUAACUACGUGCCAGCAGCCGCGGUAAUACGUAGGGUGCGAGCGUUAAUCGGAAUUACUGGGCGUAAAGCGGGCGCAGACGGUUACUUAAGCAGGAUGUGAAAUCCCCGGGCUCAACCUGGGAACUGCGUUCUGAACUGGGUGACUAGAGUGUGUCAGAGGGAGGUAGAAUUCCACGUGUAGCAGUGAAAUGCGUAGAGAUGUAGAGGAAUACCGAUGGCGAAGGCAGCCUCCUGGGAUAACACUGACGUUCAUGCCCGAAAGCGUGGGUAGCAAACAGGAUUAGAUANCCUGGUAGUCCACGCCCUAAACGAUGUCGAUUAGCUGUUGGGCAGCAUGACUGCUUAGUAGCGAAGCUA
RNAcentral lists this ribosomal RNA (793 nucleotides) under uncultured Neisseria sp. RNAcentral describes it as "bacterial SSU rRNA". It matches the Rfam family "Bacterial small subunit ribosomal RNA", at positions 69 to 854 of the family's 1533-position model. Lineage: Bacteria; Pseudomonadati; Pseudomonadota; Betaproteobacteria; Neisseriales; Neisseriaceae. The record is from RNAcentral.